GGGGUGCGGGGGGAGGAGGUCAGACUCAGCUGGCUUCUCAUUUGUUUUCCAAAGGAGAAAAUGGAAAAGGCACAAAGUGCUGCCAACAAAUGCUACUCUGUUGUCCCGGAGAGAGAGAGGGAUAGAGGUGGUCACCUGGGCUGGGGACAAGAGAGCCACCCGGAAAACCUCUCCCAACUCUCACCUGGAGAAUCACCCCACAGAAGCAUCAGAGCCCAAAGGAUUUUUGAAUGGGAGGUGGAGGAAAUUUCUUCCUGAGAUGGGGAAACCGAGGCACAGAUGUGGUCUUCCUGGAGGUCGGGAAGCCAUCAGUGGAGAGUGGUCUCUGGCUCUACCCCUCUACCCAUCUUUGUCCAGGGCCCCUGCCCACUGUUAAUGUUCUGGUAUAUUUCCCUCCAGGCUUUUUCUCCACGUGUGUGUGUGUGUGUG
This 429-nucleotide long non-coding RNA is filed under the name Pan troglodytes (chimpanzee). RNAcentral describes it as "long non-coding RNA NONPTRT002752". The record is from RNAcentral. Lineage: Eukaryota; Metazoa; Chordata; Mammalia; Primates; Hominidae.